Molecule: long non-coding RNA, 3635 nt
Organism: Mytilus californianus (California mussel)
Lineage: Eukaryota; Metazoa; Mollusca; Bivalvia; Mytilida; Mytilidae
Exons: 3
Source: RefSeq, a predicted model, not a curated record
AUAUUAUACCAUCAUUUUGAUUUGAUCAUUUCUACGAGAGUUAUGGAACUUUGACUAUUUUUUUGGAGUAUUUUUACCAAAAACACCUUGUUGUUGCAACUCCUCUGUCAGAGAACAUUAGACAGAAAGCUCUUACACUUGGUACUAUUUUUUCCUGUUGUGUGUAGUUGACCACAUUUUUACUUUUAUGGAAAUGUAAACAAGUGGAAAAAUAUUUUUGGGAACAAUGUUAGUUAUUUGUUAAAAAGGUGGAUAUUUGAAUUAUUGUCUGUUUUUAUACGACUGCAAAAGAUUUUGGGGUCGUACAAUGCUAUCAUGUCGUCGUUGUUGUCUUCCGAAGACAUUUGGUUUCCCGACAAUAACUUUAGUUUAAGUGUAUGGAUCUCUAUGAAAUUUAACCAAAAGGUUCAAUACCACAAAAGGAAGGUUGGGACUGUUUUUGGGGGUGAUGGUCCCAACUGUUUAGGAACUAGGGGCCCAAAACAAGCAUUUUUCUAGUUUCAGGACAAUUGCUCUGAAAUUUUACCACAAGGUUCAAUACCACAAAAGGAAGGUUGGGAUUGAUUUUGGGGGUUAUGGUACCAACAGUUAAGGAAUUAGGGGCCAAAAAGGGGCCAAAAAUAAGCAUUUUUGUAACUUUCAGACAAUAACUUGUGUGUAAGUGUAUGGAUCUCUCUGACAUUGUACCACAAGGUUCCAUAUCACAAAGGGAAGGCUGUAAUUGAUUUUGGGGGUAAUUGCCUCAAAAUUUUAGGAAUUAGGGGCCAAAAAAGGGGCAAAAAACAAGCAUUUUUCUAGUUUCAUGACAAUAACUUGUGUGUAAGUGUUUGGAUAUUUCUGAAAUUGUACUACAAGGUUCCAUAUCACAAAGGGAAAGCUGGAAUUGAGUUUGGGGGUAAUUGCCCGAAACGUUUAGGAAUUGGGGGCCAAAAAGGGGCCAAAAAUAAGCAUUUUUCUAGUUUCCAGACAAUAACUUGUGUUCAAGUGUAUGGAUCUCUCUGAAAUUGUACUGCAAGGUACCAUACCACAAAGGGAAGGCUGGGAUUGAGUUUGGGGGUGAUGAAUCAUAAGGGGGUUCAAAAAAUUUGGGGGGGGGGAUUUUUUUUUUUUUUUUUUUCUUUUUUUCCUUUUUUUUACUUUUAAAAUUUUCCAUUUUAAGUUGGUUAUUUCUGAUUUAUAUUUAAAAGCAAAUAAUAAUGAUAUGGUAGGAGAUACACACCAAACAGGAUGUGUAAAUUAUUAUAUAAUAAGUAUUGUGCAAUAGCAAGAAAUUUUCAAUUGCACAGUAUUGCACAAUAGCAAGAAAUCUUCAAUUGCACAGUAUUGCGCAAUAGCAAGAAAUCUUCAAUUUAACAGUAUUGCGCAAUAGCAAGAAAUAUCCAAUAGCACAAUAUUGCGCAAUAGCAAGAACUUGUCAAUUGUACAGUAUUGCGCAAUAGCAAGAAAUAUUCAAUUGCACAGUAUUGUGCAAAAGAAGAUACUUCGUAUAAAUUGCUUAUUUCUUGAUCAAUUUCAAUGGGGUUUUAUUCUUGAAUUCUUGGGGUUCUUUAAUAUGCUGAAUCUAACCGUGUAUUAAGUUUUUAGAUUUUGGGCCCCGUUUUUAAAUUGGUCCACAUUGAGGUCCAAAGGGUCCAAAAUUAAACUUUGUUUGAUUUCAUCAAAAAUUGAAUUAUUGGGGUUCUUUGAUAUGCCAAAUCUAACCGUGUAUUUAGAUUUUUAAUUUUGGGUCCUGUUUUUUAAAUUUGUCUACAUUAAGGUCCAAAGGGUCCAAAAUUAAACUUAGUUUGAUUUUAACAAAAAUUGAAUUCUUAGGGUUCUUUGAUAUGCUGAAUCUAAACAUGUGUUUAGAUUUUUGAUUAUGGGACCAGUUUUCAAGUUGGUCCAAGUUGGGGUCCAAAAUUAAACUUUGUUUGAUUUCAACAAAAAUUGAAUAUAUGGGGUUCUUUGAUAUGCUGAAUCUAAACAUGUAUUUAGAUUUUAGAUUUUUGGCCCAGUUUUCAAGUUGGUCCAAAUUGGGGUCCAAAAUUAAACUUUGUUUGAUUUCAACAAAAAUUGAAUAUAUGGGGUUCUUUGAUAUGCUGAAUCUUACCAAGUAUUUAGAUUUUUUAUUUGUGGGCCCGCUAUCAAAUUGGUUCAUAUUGAGGUCGAAAGGGUCCAAAAUUAAACUUUGUUUGAUUUCAUCUAAAAUUGAAUUAUUGGGGUUCUUUGAUAUUCCAAAUCUAACCGUGUAUUUAGGUUUUUAAUUUUGGGUCCUGUUUUUUAAAUUGGUCUACAUUGAGGUCCAAAGGGUCCAAAUUAAACUUAGUUUGAUUUUAACAAAAAUUGAAUUCUUGGGGUUCUUUGAUUUGCUGAAUCUAAACAUGUGUUUAGAUUUUUGAUUAUGGGCCCAGUUUUCAAGUUGGUCCAAGAUAGGGUCCAGUAUUUAAACUUUGUUUGAUUUCAACAAAAAUUGAAUAUAUGGGGUUCUUUGAUAUGCUGAAUCUAAACAUGUAUUUAGAUUUUUGAUUAUGGGCCCAGUUUUCAAGUUGGUCCAAAUUGGGGUCCAAAAUUAAACUUUGUUUGAUUUCAACAAAAAUUGAAUAUAUGAGGUUCUUUGAUAUGCUGAAUCUAACCAUGUAUUUAGAUUUUUUAUUUGUAGGCCCCGCUAUCAAAUUGGUUCAUAUUGAGGUCAAAAGGGUCCAAAAUUAAACUUUGUUUGAUUUCAUCGAAAAUUGAAUUAUUGGGGUUCUUUGAUAUGCCAAAUCUAACCGUGUUUUUAGAUUUUUAAUUUGGGUCCCGUUUUUUAAAUUGGUCUUCAUUGAGGUCCAAAGGGUCCAAAAUUAAACUUAGUUUGAUUUUAACAAAAAUUGAAUUCUUGGGGUUCUUUGAUAUGCUGAAUCUAAACAUGUGUUUAGAUUUUUGAUUAUGGGCCCAGUUUUCAAGUUGGUCCAAGUUGGGGUCCAAAAUUAUACUUUUUUUGAUUUCAACAAAAAUUGAAUAUAUGGGGUUCUUUGAUAUGCUGAAUCUAACCAUGAACUUAGAUUUUUUAUUUGUGGGCCCCGCUAUCAAAUUGGUUCAUAUUGAGGUCAAAAGGGUCCAAAAUUAAACUUUGUUUGAUUUCAUCAAAAAUUGAAUUAUUGGGGUUUUUUGAUAUUCCAAAUCUAACCGUGUAUUUAGAUUUUUAAUUUUAAGUCCCGUUUUUUAAAUUGGUCUACAUUAAGGUCCAAAGGGUCCAAAAUUAAACUUAGUUUGAUUUUAGCAAAAAUUGAAUUCUUGGGGUUCUUUGAUAUGCUGAAUCUAAACAUGUGUUUAGAUUUUUGAUUAUGGGCCCAGUUUUCAAGUUUGUCCAAGUUGGGGUCCAAAAUUAAACUUUGUUUGAUUUUAACAAAAAUUGAAUAUAUGGGGUUCUUUGAUAUGCUGAAUCUAACCAUGUAUUUUGAUUUUGGACAUUGGACCAUAAUAGGUAAAUUAAAAAAAUUCAAGUUCUUAGACCACAUUCUUUCUGUGUCAGAAACCUAUGCUGUGUCAAAUAUUUAAUAACAAUCCAAAUUCAGAGCUGUAUCAAGCUUGAAUGUUGUGUCCAUACUUGCCCCAACUGUUCAGGGUUCGACCUCUGCGGUCGUAUCAAGCUGCGCCCCAGCGAAGCAUUUUAUUUA